UACGUAGGGUGCAAGCGUUGUCCGGAAUUAUUGGGCGUAAAGAGCUCGUAGGCGGUCUGUCACGUCGGCUGUGAAAACCCGAGGCUCAACCUCGGGCCUGCAGUCGAUACGGGCAAACUAGAGUACUGCAGGGGAGACUGGAAUUCCUGGUGUAGCGGUGAAAUGCGCAGAUAUCAGGAGGAACACCGGUGGCGAAGGCGGGUCUCUGGGCAGUAACUGACGCUGGAGGAGCGAAAAGCAUGGGGAGCGAACAGG
This 255-nucleotide ribosomal RNA is filed under the name uncultured bacterium. RNAcentral's name for it is "partial 16S ribosomal RNA". It matches the Rfam family "Bacterial small subunit ribosomal RNA", at positions 524 to 776 of the family's 1533-position model. The record is from RNAcentral.